Molecule: non-coding RNA, 1627 nt
Organism: Paralichthys olivaceus (Japanese flounder)
Lineage: Eukaryota; Metazoa; Chordata; Actinopteri; Pleuronectiformes; Paralichthyidae
Source: RefSeq, a predicted model, not a curated record
ACCCACCGGGGGAGGCCACGACUUCAGGCCGAGCGGGAGCGUCGCUGAGUCGGUGUGAGGACGGUGGAUGUCUCGCCGAGGAUCGGAGAGGUUCAGGAGGGAGGGAGUGACUGAAAGGCUUUAACGGACAUUGAUCGGACAUUUAAGGGACAUUUCACGGAUUUGUCGGCGGCGGCUGCAGCAGCUGCAUGUUAAACCACAGCAGAGGAGCCUGAGGGUGAUGUGGAGGCUCAGAUUGGAUCAGAUGCACUGAUUCACCCUCGCGUCUCCAGAGCUGAGCGCCGGCUGUGCACCAUCAGCAGCAGCAGCCUCCUUCCCCGCGAGAGAGAGAACAAACCAUUCAACAACGUCGAAAGUUGCCUACUUCAAGAGGAAAUAUGCGGAGGAGGAGGAUUUACACGGAGGCCUACAUGGAUAUUUUCAAAAACACCUGAUACUGCAGGAGGACCGCAGCUGCAUCCUGAAGCUGUCCCUGGAGAAGCUGAGGUUCCUGGAGGACCCCGAGGCCUACCUGCGGCGCUCCGUCCUCAUCAACAACCUGCUGAGGAAGAUCCACCAUGAGGAGGAGGAGCUGGAGGCUGGGGAGGAGGAGGAGGAGGAAGAAGAAGAUGAUGUAGAGGAGGAAGAGGAAGAGGAAGAGGAGGAAGUCAUUGGGGCGAGUGGGCAGCGGAGGCUGAUGUACCCGGACAGGAAGAGAGUGAAGGUGCUGGUGACGGACUGCUGCUCUCCACCGUUUGGCCUUGAGGACCUGCAGCACUACCGGCUGGUGCCCUGUUACCCUGCAGCCGGAUGCCUGUACGGCCUGGGCUCGUGUCCGGGCCUCACCCCGAGGCACCAGGUGCUCCUGUACAACCUGGACGACAACGGCUGACUCCGCAGAGCCCUCGCCAUCGGGCCUCUGUUCACCAAGUCAGGAGAAAGACAAACAUGCACCGUUUGUUUGAGGACAAGCUGCCGACCUCUCCCCCUUCGGGGUCGCGUGUCCUCGGCCUCCUCUCGUCUCCUCGACAGGAGGCAGCAGCAGCAGAUGGAAGACGCUGAGAAACCCUGAUUCUUCUCCUGCCUCAGCAUCAACAGGGUCGUUUAGUAUCCGUGCGAAUGUGAAGGACUCUGAGCAGGACUUUCGUUUGAUUUUGAUUUUAUUCGUAUUUGCUUUUCGUUGUAACUGUUGCUCGUGUGGACUCAUGAGCUUAUUCAGGGAUUUACAGACCGCAGGCUACUUCUGACGCACCUCGACUCGUUCACGGACGCUUGUAUGCUUCUGUUAUCUUUCGAUGCUAACGUGUGAUUUAUGAAACAUUCUCCGGACCCUCGUCCUCUGAGGUGCUUUCACUGCCUGUGGGAGAAACGAUCGUUUCUGGUUGUGUUCGAUGUCCUGUGUUCAUUCAAUGGGCUCUUGCUUGUUUUUCAUUUAUUCUAUCACUUUGCUGCCCUCUGCUGGUCAAAGAAUUCCCUGGAAGCCCUUCUUCACUUGAUUUGAUAAUGAUGAGAAAAAAACAUGCAGUUAUAAGCAGAUUCAUUUUAUUAAUGUAUUUAUAAACAAUAUGUAAUAAAUAGAAGGUGUAAGGAUAUGACUUAUAUCCUCAUGGAUAAAGUUAAAUUAAUAAUAAAGUAUUUUUAAAUGUCA